This 387-nucleotide non-coding RNA is filed under the name Daphnia magna. RNAcentral describes it as "Bacterial large subunit ribosomal RNA". It matches the Rfam family "Bacterial large subunit ribosomal RNA", at positions 2049 to 2651 of the family's 2925-position model. The record is from Rfam by way of RNAcentral. Lineage: Eukaryota; Metazoa; Arthropoda; Branchiopoda; Diplostraca; Daphniidae.
CUGAGUGAAAAAGCUCAGAUAAUUUUGAAGGACGAUCAGACCCUUUGGAGCUUUAUUUACUUUAAAAAUUUGAAUUUGUUUUAAUUGAUUGAAUGGAAAGUAAAUUUUGUUGGGGCGACAGGGAGUAAAAUAUAACACUCUUUUUUUAAAACAAUCCUAAUUGGAAAAUUGAUCCUUAGAGUGAGAUUACAAGACUAAGUUACCCUAGGGAUAACAGCGUAAUCUUUUUGGAGAGUUCAAAUCGAUAAAAAGGUUUGCGACCUCGAUGUUGGAUUAAGAGAUUGGCAAGGUGCAGAAGUUUUGCUGGAAAGUCUGUUCGACUUUUAAUCUCUUACAUGAUCUGAGUUCAAACCGGCGUAAGCCAGGUUGGUUUCUAUCCUCAAAAUU